RNAcentral lists this ribosomal RNA (435 nucleotides) under uncultured bacterium. RNAcentral describes it as "partial 16S ribosomal RNA". It matches the Rfam family "Bacterial small subunit ribosomal RNA", at positions 29 to 507 of the family's 1533-position model. The record is from RNAcentral.
AGCGAACGCUGGCGGCAGGCUUAACACAUGCAAGUCGAGCGGGCAUCUUCGGAUGUCAGCGGCAGACGGGUGAGUAACACGUGGGAACGUACCCUUCGGUUCGGAACAACUCUGGGAAACUGGAGCUAAUACCGGAUACGCCCUUAUGGGGAAAGGUUUACUGCCGAAGGAUCGGGCCGCGUCUGAGUAGCUAGUUGGUGGGGUAACGGCCUACCAAGGCGACGAGCAGUAGCUGGGCUGAGAGGAUGAUUCGCCACACCGGCACUGGGACACGGCCCAGACUCCUACGGGAGGCAGCAGCGGGGAAUAUUGGACAAUGGGCGCAAGCCUGAUCCAGCCAUGCCGCGUGAGUGAUGAAGGCCUUAGGGUUGUAAAGCUCUUUUGUCCGGGACGAUAAUGACGGUACCGGAAGAAUAAGCCCCGGCUAACUUCGUG